AUGCUCAGUUCAUCACGUGUACUAAAAUUGGAAUGAGACAAAGAUUAGCGUGGAUUUUGUGCAAGAAUGGCACACAAAUUCAGGAAAUGUUCCAUGUUUUU
Molecule: small nuclear RNA, 101 nt
Organism: Bison bison bison
Lineage: Eukaryota; Metazoa; Chordata; Mammalia; Artiodactyla; Bovidae
Source: Ensembl